This 253-nucleotide ribosomal RNA is filed under the name uncultured bacterium. RNAcentral describes it as "partial 16S ribosomal RNA". It matches the Rfam family "Bacterial small subunit ribosomal RNA", at positions 524 to 776 of the family's 1533-position model. The record is from RNAcentral.
UACGUAGGUGGCAAGCGAUACUCGGAAUCACUAGGCGUAAAGCGCAGGUAGGCGGUUUGGUAAGUCUUUUGUGAAAGCUCCUGGCUCAACUGGGAGAGGUCAAGGGAAACUACCGGACUAGAGUGUGGUAGGGGAUACUGGAAUUCCUGGUGUAGCGGUGAAAUGCGUAGAUAUCAGGAGGAACACCGGUGGCGAAGGCGGCGUUCUGGACUGCAACUGACACUGAGGAACGAAAGCCAGGGGAGCAAACGGG